GGGGCCUUAGCUCAGCUGGCAGAGCGCCUGCUUUGCAAGCAGGAAGUCAGGGGUUCGAAUCCCCUAGGCUCCACC
Molecule: transfer RNA, 75 nt
Filed under: Microbispora rosea subsp. rosea
Lineage: Bacteria; Bacillati; Actinomycetota; Actinomycetes; Streptosporangiales; Streptosporangiaceae
Also listed under: 6 other names
Description: tRNA-Ala
Rfam family: tRNA
About the family: Transfer RNA (tRNA) molecules are approximately 80 nucleotides in length. Their secondary structure includes four short double-helical elements and three loops (D, anti-codon, and T loops). Further hydrogen bonds mediate the characteristic L-shaped molecular structure. tRNAs have two regions of fundamental functional importance: the anti-codon, which is responsible for specific mRNA codon recognition, and the 3' end, to which the tRNAs corresponding amino acid is attached (by aminoacyl-tRNA synthetases). tRNAs cope with the degeneracy of the genetic code in two manners: having more than one tRNA (with a specific anti-codon) for a particular amino acid; and 'wobble' base-pairing, i.e. permitting non-standard base-pairing at the 3rd anti-codon position.
Source: RNAcentral